This 193-nucleotide ribosomal RNA is filed under the name Lysinibacillus fusiformis. RNAcentral describes it as "16S rRNA. Bacterial SSU". It matches the Rfam family "Bacterial small subunit ribosomal RNA", at positions 19 to 206 of the family's 1533-position model. Lineage: Bacteria; Bacillati; Bacillota; Bacilli; Caryophanales; Bacillaceae. The record is from RNAcentral.
CUGGCUCAGGACGAACGCUGGCGGCGUGCCUAAUACAUGCAAGUCGAGCGAACAGAGAAGGAGCUUGCUCCUUCGACGUUAGCGGCGGACGGGUGAGUAACACGUGGGCAACCUACCUUAUAGUUUGGGAUAACUCCGGGAAACCGGGGCUAAUACCGAAUAAUCUGUUUCACCUCAUGGUGAAACACUGAAA